ACGCUCGACACCUACGGGAGCAGCAGUGGGGAAUAUUGCACAAUGGGGGAAACCCUGAUGCAGCGACGCCGCGUGAGCGAAGAAGUAUUUCGGUAUGUAAAGCUCUAUCAGCAGGGAAGAAAAUGACGGUACCUGACUAAGAAGCCCCGGCUAACUAUGUACCAGCAGCCGCGGUAAUCUGAGCGGGCUGGCAAGGC
This 197-nucleotide ribosomal RNA is filed under the name uncultured bacterium. RNAcentral's name for it is "partial 16S ribosomal RNA". It matches the Rfam family "Bacterial small subunit ribosomal RNA", at positions 328 to 539 of the family's 1533-position model. The record is from RNAcentral.